RNAcentral lists this ribosomal RNA (303 nucleotides) under uncultured bacterium. RNAcentral describes it as "partial 16S ribosomal RNA". It matches the Rfam family "Bacterial small subunit ribosomal RNA", at positions 507 to 807 of the family's 1533-position model. The record is from RNAcentral.
AGCAGUAGCCGCGGUAAUACGGAGGGUGCAAGCGUUAAUCGGAAUUACUGGGCGUAAAGCGCACGCAGGCGGUCUGACAAGUCAGAUGUGAAAUCCCCGGGCUUAACCUGGGAACUGCAUUUGAAACUGUCAGGCUGGAGUCUUGUAGAGGGGGGUAGAAUUCCAGGUGUAGCGGUGAAAUGCGUAGAGAUCUGGAGGAAUACCGGUGGCGAAGGCGGCCCCCUGGACAAAGACUGACGCUCAGGUGCGAAAGCGUGGGGAGCAAACAGGAUUAGAUACCCGCGUAGUCCCUGUCUCUUAUAC